Long non-coding RNA from Clupea harengus (Atlantic herring), 1902 nucleotides. NCBI's taxonomy places the organism in Eukaryota, Metazoa, Chordata, Actinopteri, Clupeiformes, Clupeidae. The record is from Ensembl.
ACAGACACACACACACACACACACACACUGCACCCUAGCCAGAGCCUGGCCAGUGCUGCUGUGACUGUUGGUUAGAUUAGAUCGGUUAGAUUAAAUCCGUUAGAUUAGAUCCGUUAGAUUAGAGCGGUUAGAUCCGUUAGAUUAGUGUUGCUGUGACUGUUGGUUAGAUUAGAGCGGUCCCUCCCGACCCAUCCAGUGCUGCUGUGACGGUCAGCAGUGUUGAUUAGAUCCGUUCGAUUAGAGCGGUUAGAUUAGAGUCGUUAGAUUAGAGUCGUUAGAUUAGAUCCGUUAGAUUAGAUCCGUUAGAUUAGAGUGGUUAGAUUAGAGCGGUUAGAUCAGAUCCGUUAGAUUAGAUCCGUUAGAUUAGAGUGGUUAGAUUAGAUCAGUUAGAUUAGAGCGGUUAGAUUAGAUCUGUUAGAUUAGAGUCGUUAGAUUAGAGUCGUUAGAUUAGAGUGGUUAGAUUAGAGCGGUUAGAUUAGAUUAGAGUCGUUAGAUUAGAGUGGUUAGAUUAGAGUGGUUAGAUUAGAGUCGUUAGAUUAGAGCGGUUAGAUUAGAUCUGUUAGAUUAGAGUCGUUAGAUUAGAGUGGUUAGAUUAGAUACGUUAGAUUAGAUCGGUUAGAUUAGAGUCGUUAGAUUAGAUCGGUUAGAUUAGAGUCGUUAGAUUAGAGUCGUUAGAUUAGAGUCGUUAGAUUAGAGUGGUUAGAUUAGAUACGUUAGAUUAGAUCCGUUAGAUUAGAGCGGUUAGAUUAGAACGGUUAGAUUAGAUCGGUUAGAUUAGAGUCGUUAGAUUAGAUCCGUUAGAUUAGUCUCGUUAGAUUAGAGUCGUUAGAUUAGAUUGGUUAGAUUAGAGUCGUUAGAUUAGAGCGGUUAGAUUAGAUACGUUAGAUUAGAUCCGUUAGAUUAGAGCGGUUAGAUUAGAGUGGUUAGAUUAGAUCCGUUAGAUUAGAUCGGUUAGAUUAGAACGGUUAGAUUAGAUCGGUUAGAUUAGAGUCGUUAGAUUAGAUCCGUUAGAUUAGAGUCGUUAGAUUAGAGUCGUUAGAUUAGAUCGGUUAGAUUAGAACGGUUAGAUUAGAUCGGUUAGAUUAGAGUCGUUAGAUUAGAGUCGUUAGAUUAGAGCGGUUAGAUUAGAGCGGUUAGAUUAGAGCGGUUAGAUUAGAUCCGUUAAAUUAAAGCGGUUAGAUUAGAUCCGUUAGAUUAGAGCGGUUAGAUUAGAGUCGUUAGAUUAGAGGGGUUAGAUUAGAGUCGAUAGAUUAGAGCGGUUAGAUUAGAGUCGUUAGAUUAGAGGGGUUAGAUUAGAGCGGUUAGAUUAGAGCGGUUAGAUUAGAGCGGUUAGAUUGGAGUCGUUAGAUUAGAGUCGUUAAAUUAAAGUUGUUAGAUUAGAGUCGUUAGAUUAGAUCCGUUAGAUUAGAGUCGUUAGAUUAGAGCGGUUAGAUUAGAUCCGUUAGAUUAGAAUCGUUAGAUUAGAUCCGUUAGAUUAGAUCCGUUAGAUUAGAGCGGUUAGAUUAGAGUCGUUAGAUUAGAGCGGUUAGAUUAGAUCUGUUAGAUUAGAGCGGUUAGAUUAGAGUGGUUAGAUUAGAGCGGUUAGAUUAGAUCCGUUAGAUUAGAUCCGUUAGAUUAGAGCGGUUAGAUUAGAGUCGUUAGAUUAGUGCUGCUGUGACGGUCAGCAGUGUUGAUUAGAUCCGUUAGAUUAGAUCCGUUAGAUUAGAGUGGUAAGAUUAGAGCGGUUAGAUUAGAGCGGUGAGAUUAGAGCGGUUAGAUUGCCGUCAGAUGCUCUGAGGUCAUGUGACAUUACACUAAUGUCUGGAAGACAAGGCUCUGGCAGGCUUUUCUUUAAUCAUUAGUUUUUUUUAUUUAUUUCUUUAUUUAAUAUGUAAAUUGUUGAGUAAAUUGUUCUGUCGAAAG